UCAUCCUCAUCGAAAGCCGGUGGUUGUC
This 28-nucleotide small RNA is filed under the name Bombyx mori (domestic silkworm). RNAcentral describes it as "ovarian small RNA-26061". Lineage: Eukaryota; Metazoa; Arthropoda; Insecta; Lepidoptera; Bombycidae. The record is from RNAcentral.